GCUCCGUAGGUGAACCUGCGGAGGGAUCAUUACAGAGUUCAUGCCCUCACGGGUAGAUCUCCCACCCUGUGUUAUUAUACUUUGUUGCUUUGGCAGGCCGCCCGCGUGGGCUACCGGCUCCAGCUGGUAAGUGCCUGCCAGAGGACCCCAAACUCUCAAUAUUCUAUUGUCUGAGUACUAUAUAAUAGUUUAAACUUUCAACAACGGAUCUCUUGGUUCUG
Molecule: unclassified non-coding RNA, 221 nt
Filed under: plant metagenome
Description: partial contains small subunit ribosomal RNA, internal transcribed spacer 1, and 5.8S ribosomal RNA
Source: RNAcentral